This 362-nucleotide ribosomal RNA is filed under the name uncultured bacterium. Its description in RNAcentral is "bacterial SSU rRNA". It matches the Rfam family "Bacterial small subunit ribosomal RNA", at positions 987 to 1362 of the family's 1533-position model. The record is from RNAcentral.
UACAGGUGGUAGGGAUCCGAAAGGUGACCGACCCGCAAGGGAGCCUGAACAGGUGUUGCAUGGCUGUCGUCAGCUCGUGUCGUGAGAUGUUCGGUUAAGUCCGCUAACGAGCGCAACCCUCGCCGCGUGUUACAAGUGUCACGCGGGACCGCCGGUAUCAAGCCGGAGGAAGGUGGGGAUGACGUCAAGUCAGCAUGGCCUUUAUAUCCGGGGCUACACACACGCUACAAUGGCCGGUACAAUGGGCAGCGAAGGGGCGACCCGGAGCGAAUCCUGAAAGGUGUUCACAGUUCGGAUUGCAGGCUGCAACUCGCCUGCAUGAAGCUGGAGUUGCUAGUAACCGCAGGUCAGCCAUACUGCGG